This 6016-nucleotide long non-coding RNA is filed under the name Homo sapiens (human). Its description in RNAcentral is "long non-coding RNA NONHSAT200791.1". The record is from RNAcentral. Lineage: Eukaryota; Metazoa; Chordata; Mammalia; Primates; Hominidae.
GCAGAGAUGGCAGAGAUGGCAUGGCAAGAGCAAGCAAGCGUGUGGGGAGGCGCCAGGGUCAUUUUAACAACCAGCUCUCUUGGGAACUAAUGGAGCAAGAAUGCAUUCAUUACCAUGAGGAGGGCACCAAGCCAUUCAUGAGGGAUCCCCAUGACCCCCAUGGGACCCCCACGGGACCCCCAUGACCCAAACACCUCCCACCAGGCCCCACCUUCAACACCGGGGAUCACAUUUCAACCUGAGAUGUGGAGGGACACACAUUCCAACUAUAGCGAGCUGCUACAGAGCUUGAGCUGGUGACUGACAUGCAAAUCCAGAGGCUAAAUGUUGUUUUCAAGAGAAGACAGAAAUUUUUACUUUUUUAUUGAGGCAGAGUCUCACUCUGUCGCCCAGGCUGGAGUGCAGUGGCAUGAUCUUGGCUCACUGCAAGCUCUGCCUCCCGGGUUCACGCCAUUCUCCUGCCUCAGCCUCCCGAGUAGCUGGGACUACAGGCGCCCGCCACCACGCUCAGCUAAUUUUUUGUAUUUUUAGUAGAGACGGGGUUUCACUGUGUUAGCCAGGAUGGUCUCGAUCUCCUGUCCUUGCGAUCCACCCGUCUCGGCCUCCCAAAGUGCUGGGAUUACAGGAGUGAGUCACUGCGCCUGGCCAAAUUGUGAUAUUUUAAGUGUAAACUAUCUCAAUGGGAAUAUUGAUAACAAUUCAUAUAUAUUUUUUAAACUGCAUGACCCAAAUGAAACAGGUCUGUGUGCCUGAUUUGCAGCCUCUGGACUAUUAUGUGCAAGUGGAAUCCUGUGGCUUGGGGUCAGGAAGCAAUGCUGCAGGCCUCUGGGUAAGGGAUGGGGACUUCCCCGAAUGGAGUGGGAAUUCCCACUGCCGGUCCUUCUGGAAAGUGGCCUGUCCUAGGACAGGAACUGAGGAACAGGGAGGCAGAGUUUGCCUCCCAUGGGUGGAGGAGCUCCUUCUCUCACCGAGUCUCUGGAGGGCUGCCCUGCAUGGUCGGGGGCAGGUGUGCUCACAGCACCCUGGUGGGGCAGGCCCUGCUCCAGGGAGGCAAGCUCGGGGGGCCUGACUGAGCGGCAGCAGUAGCAGCCCCAAGUCCCCCUGUUUUGAGCGUCCCUUCUGCUGACACUUCAAACAAUGCCUGGUUAAAGGUUAUAGCCCAGCUUAAGCUGGGUGCGGAGAGGAAUGAGGUGGAGCAGAGGAGAAGGUGGGGAGCGCGUGCUCCUUCUGCAAGGCCUAAGUCAGGGGACUCAGUGGCACCAGAACAGUGGUCAUCUUGGGAGUGCCAACAGCUGGGAAGGCAGUCCUGGUCGCUCAGGAGCGGGGAAGAAGAGCAGACGCUCAGGUACGUGGGAACCUAUUCCAGAACACGUGUGACACAGCCCAGGGGAACCCCCAGAAAUAAUAGAAAGGUGCUUUGAGGGGUUUAACUUCCCAUGUGGGCAGACGGGAAAUGCAUGCAAUUGGUUGUAAUUAGAGUAUUGAUGGAAACUUGCCCCCUUUUUUUGUAGACACACGUGGUUGAAGCCGGGCCCUUCGUUUGAAGAAAUGACAAUAGAUGUUUGCCUGGAGUUUUAGCGUUUACAAAGUGAUCCACUAACACCGUCUCAUGGAAUCUUCACAUCAACGGUGGGUAUGGUGGCUGGCUUAUGCCUGUGGUCCCAGCUACUCAGGAGGCUGAAGCAGGAGGAUUGCUGGAGCCCAGGGGUUUGAGGCUGCAGUGAGCUAUGAUUGUGCCAUUGCACUUCAGCCUGGGCCACAGAGUGAGAACCCCACUCUAAAAACAAGAAGAUGAACAAGAAGAAGGAGAAGAAGAAGAAGGAGAAGGAGAAGGAGAAGGAGGGGAAGGGGAAGGGGAAGGAGAAGGAGAAGGAGGGGAAGGGGAAGGGGAAAGGGAAGGAAAUGGAGAAAGGAAGAAGAAAAAGGAAGAAGAAGAGGAAGAGGAAAAGGAGGAAGAGAAACAAGAAGGAGAAGAAGAAGAAGAAGGAGGAGGAGGAGGAGGAGGAGGAAAUUUGGACACAGGUGCUCACAGGGAGAAGAAGGCCAUGUGGAGACAGACACAGAGGGAAGAAGAUGUGAGACAGAUGAGGGCAAUGCUGCUAACAGCCAAGGACCUCCUGGGGCUACUACACACUGGAGGAGGCGAGAAAGGGUCCUCCCUUCAGGGCUUUGGAGGGAGCACCGUCCAGCUCACACCUUGAUUUUAGACUUCCAGCCUCCGGAGUCGAGAGGGAAUGCACCGGUGUUGUUUAAGCCACCCUGCUGUGGUAUCUGUUAUGGCGGCACAGGCAGAAAUAGGGACACAAGUGCAGGUUCAGGGCAAGGUGUGCGAGCACACUCAGUCCCUGGCCUCGGAGUCUCUCUGGAUGGCUUCUUGCCUAGGGUGACUGACAGAGGGAUGGAUGAUAUGAAAAGGCAGCUGUUCUCCUCCCGACCUAACCCCAAUUCUUACUCCAUGGGUUCAUGACAGCCCAUUCUGCUGGAGACUGUGUCUUAAAACUUUCUCCCCUAGUUUCUCUCAAGUACCCCUCGUGAGCUGUGAUUUCACUGGGCUUUCAACUCUUAGGCCAUUUUCUUUGUGCCUUUCUAUCAAAGCUUUAUAUCAACUCAAACCAUGUCUAUAGUAGUUUUCCAUUUUCCUUUUUUUCUUUUUUAAUGAUUGUAAUUUUUUCAAAUGGAUUAUGUAUUUUUAUAUCUUUUUUCUUUUGAAUUUACUUCUUUUUUAAGAGCCAUUUUUUGUUUGGAGCAAAAUUGAGCAGAAAGUCCGGGGAGUUCCUCGCUGCUCCCACACACACAGCCUCCCCGCUGUCGAUAUCUGGCACCGGAGGGGUCUGACCCUUACAAGUGAGGAGCCUAUGUUGAUGCACCAUUAUCACCCAAAGCUCAUAGUUUACACGAGGGCCCACUCUUGCUGUGGAACCACGUUCCUUUUCCCCACGUGUUUUUGCAUCCCUUUUCUUUUUUCUACCUUCCCAAACCCUGUGAUGUUCGGAAGAGCUAUGAUCCCUAUUCUAUAGAGAGGACACUCAAGGAAGCAGCUGAUAAGUAGAACCAGGACUCAAACCCAGAUCUCAUAACUCUAAAUCCAGCAGUGGUAGUUUUUUCUCUUUAAUACAAUUAUGACACUCCCUUUUGAACUUGUGAUAUAUACCUGCCGCUAACACACACACACACACACACACACACACACACACACACACACACACCUUGAGAGGCUGUUGCCAAUUGUUCUUUAGGCAUCACACACAGCCCCGGCACACAGCAGGGGCUUAAUAGAUAUUCCUUACAUCGAAGUUGAAAGUCUUGUCUCAACAUUCUGCUCUCACACACUCGCCUACAAACUCAUCAAAUAAUAGAGCAUCGAUUCUCAUUCUCUCCCUCUCCCUUCCUUUUAAAUCUCCUGGGGCUUAGAAUCCAUAAUUUGUGGAAUUCCCGCAUUCCCACAGGUGUCCUGGGAGGUGGGCAGGGCCAACACUUCAGCAGCUUCUGCAACGCAGCAGACUCCUGGGCCUGAUGUGCUAGCUGCCCAUUUGCUAUGGGCCUUCGCUCCCCAGAAGCACCUCUCUGGGUAUGGGGCAAACACCCCUCAUUGCUGCAAUGCAGCCUCUGCUGGAGUGAAACAGGAUGCUUGAUUUCUAUUGCGUCAGUAGCAACACUGCCCAGAGGUCUAAGAGAGGAAGUCAGAGCAAAGCCCAUCAAAGCCCACCCAGAACAGCAGGGAAAUUCCAAGUCAUCGGUUUCUAGUUCUCCCCAUGCGUGUGGUGGCCCUGCUUUGUGGUGAGCCUCCAGGACUGUCCUGCUGUGCCUCUGAAGCACCUGCUCACAGAAGGGUGACCCAUUGAGGCAUGCAGUGGGUUGAUACAAAUGUCAACUCCAGCCCCUGUCAUCAGCUAAAGGUCAGCAAAUGAGUUCUCUGGCAUUUGGGGUCUGCAGGAGCAAGUGAGUACUGUGAACACCUGCAGUGUGGAGACCACGUCCAUCUAAUUGGCGUCUAUGGGGCCCAGUGCCAGGCUGGGCCCAAGUGUCGAUUCAGGAAGGGUGUCUCAGGAUGCAGAAGCCGCCUGAUGCGUGCAGAGGUGGAUAGGCCUUCAGCCUGCUCUCCUCCUCUGUCCUGCAGACCGGGUGAGUUAUGUUAGCCUCUGCUUUCCCUUCCUGUCCUGAGCACAGCAAUCGGGACAACCACACAUCCUCUGAGAGAUGAUAAAAAUAAUGAGACCAAGAAGACUGCACCCAAAUCGAUGUUUUGUCUUUGCGCAGACCCCAUAGUGUGUCUUGUGCUGCAGAGGGAAGCACCUGGCAUCUUGGGGCCUCUUCUCUGCCCCCUCCCCACUUUGGGGAGGGGUUUUGUCGGGGGCAGCCUCCAUCCUUUGGAAUCCUGUCUGUGCUCUGAUUCUCCCUGAUGGUCUUUAUAGCUUUGCAUUAUUUUGCUUUCAGAGAACAGAGAAAUGUGAAUAAGAACAGAAACAUGGCACCGGUGUCCUCAGCUUCUUCCCCACCUUCACAGAACUGCUGCUGCAAACUAGUAGUUUUGAGAAAUGAUGAAAAACCUGUGGUUUUCCCCAAAUUCCAAGAAUCAGAGGCAGAUUCUAGGAGGGUGAAGAUGGUGUGGGCUCAAAAAUGGUCAUGCGGCACAUCUUCUGAGGAGAUAUGCUGCCCAUUAAAAGGGCAAAACAGGAGUUGGUGUGUGGGCAGUUCCCGCAUCACACAUAAAGGCUUCACCAGUGAGGCUCAGCCCAGGAACUGCCUGCCCUUGAGGCUGGGGGCUCACAAAGAAAGCUUUCCCCCAGCUUCUGAUGUCCAUGAAGAGCAGAGAGCAUGCUGGUGGUGAUUCAUAACCCCCUGAAAUGUAUCCUCAGUUUGCCAGAGAAAAAUUUCUAGGACCCACCUAAUAAGUUCAUUCAUUGGUUCCCAGACUCGGCAGGUUUUACCAGAUCCCUCACGACUGGUCCCAGCUUCUCUCCCAGCACAUUACUUGAAGGUACACAAAUAGUCCACUGUGCUUUGUUUCCUCUGUUUCUUCCAAUUCUCUCUUCUGCUUGACCAGCUUGUACUUGAAGAUCUAGGUUUUGGGAGAUUCCCGGGAUUGCUGCCAGGCACUGCCUGCCCCCAUCUGAGUAAGGGGUGUAAACCCCAAGAGUAUCUGAGACAAGUGUCAGUUAAUCUAGGAUUGUAUAUUGCCAAGGUUAAGAACAUGCCCAGGACACAGCCUUGGGAGGUCCUGACCACAUGUGCCCAAGGUAGUGGGCCUACAACUUGGUUUUAUACAUUUUAGGGAGACAUAAGCCAUCAAUCAAUACAUGUAACAUGUACAUUGUUUUGGUCUGGAAAGUUGGGACAACCGGAAGGGGGAGCUUCCAGGUCACAGUCAGAUUCAAAGACUUCCUGACUGGCAGUUGAUUGAGUUAUUAUCUAAAGACCUGGAAUCAAGAGAAAGGAAUGUCUGGGUGAUGGUAAGGGGUUGUAGAGAUUAAGGUUUUGUCAUGCCGAUGAAGCCUCCAGGUAACAGGCUUCAGAGAGAAUAGGUCAUAAAUGUUUCUACUCAGACUUAAAGAGGCUGUUCUAUCAGUCAUUCCUAAAGGAAGGAGGGUAUCAAGAGGCUGUUCUAUCAGUAAUUCCUAAAGGAAGGAGGGUAUCAAGACGCACGUCUGGCUCCCCCUUCCCCUCAUGACCUGAACUAGUUUUAUAGGUUAACUUUGGAAUGCCUUGGCUGAGGGGCCAUGCAUUCAGAUGGUUGGGGGCCUUAGAAUUUUCUUUUUGGUUUACAGGGACUUGCACUCACAGUGGCCUGGCUGUCUGUCUGUCUGUCUAACCUGGCAUUAUGCACACACUUUGAGUUAUCUUAUUCCUGCUCUGUGUUCUCAUUGCAUGAGAUCCUUGGGUGCAGGAACUACGUCUCCUCCUUGUUCUCCAGAGUACAAAUUUUUCUUUCAAUAACUGUGCACUGAGCUCCAAUUUUGUUCCAAUGGCUGUGCUAAGCUCUGUAGAUGAAGUCGAAAAAAAUAAAGAAGUAAAGACA